RNAcentral lists this ribosomal RNA (459 nucleotides) under uncultured bacterium. RNAcentral's name for it is "partial 16S ribosomal RNA". It matches the Rfam family "Bacterial small subunit ribosomal RNA", at positions 338 to 795 of the family's 1533-position model. The record is from RNAcentral.
CCUACGGGAGGCAGCAGUGAGGAAUAUUGGUCAAUGGGCGGAAGCCUGAACCAGCCAAGUAGCGUGCGGGAUGAAGGCCCUACGGGUCGUAAACCGCUUUUGCACGGGGAUAACACCCUCCACUUGUGGAGGUCUGCAGGUACCGUGCGAAUAAGGGCCGGCUAAUUCCGUGCCAGCAGCCGCGGUAAUACGGAAGGCCCGAGCGUUAUCCGGAUUCAUUGGGCUUAAAGGGAGCGUAGGCGGGCGUUCAAGUCAGCUGUAAAAGCGCGCGGCUCAACCUCGCACCGCAGUUGAAACUGGACGCCUUGAGUGCACAACAGGCAGGCGGAAUUCGUGGUGUAGCGGUGAAAUGCAUAGAUAGCACGAGGAACCCCGAGUGCGAAGGCAGCCUGCCGGGGUGCGACUGACGCUGAGGCUCGAAGGUGCGGGUAUCAAACAGGAUUAGAUACCCGGGUAGUC